GGGGAGGGUAGCUCAGGAAUGACCAUCGCCCAGCCCUGUGACCCGAGCCACUGCGCGAAUAGACAAGAGAGCUGCAUCGAUCGCCCCGGGAAAGUGUCCCUGCAUCCUGGUCACCGGCUAGCAGCCGCAGUGAUGCCGGCAGGGCCACCGACCCACCGGGCUAUCCGCGCGUCCGGGAGACCACCGCGUACCGCGGCACUCUGGUGCCUGAAACCCUUGCCGGUCCGACCCAGCCCGGCUAGCUCACCUCUCAGCUCCGAAGGAUGGGGGUUCGCGUGUGCACCAUCCGGGUAAGCUCCUUUUCUGCUCUCCUCACCAGGCAAGCAUCCCCAGUUGGCGCGCCCCAGGGCUCUUGUGGGAGGGCCUGGGCCCCGCCUCUAGAGCCCAGCCCCCUCAGGUUCUGUCCCCUCCUACCAGCCCAGGUGUGUUCCCGAGCCCGCCGAGAACUGGCGACCAGCCCAGAGCAGGCCACGACUCCGCAGCGCCACCUGCCGUCCCGAAGCAAGCUCUGCGCCCCAGCUGGGCUGGUCCUGAGCCGUUCUAGGUGGCAAAGCGAGGGCCUGCUGCCGCCCGAAGGCCACCCUGCACCUUGCAUUCCCCUGGGUCUCGGUAGCACCUCCCACAAGGCACCUCGCAACCCCUCCUGCUGCUCUGUUACUGACCCGGGCCUUUCCUUCUGCUCCAGAUCACAGGUGCCUUCCUGCCCCAGCACCAGCAGGAAUCUCACUCAGUCUUUUGUCCCCCAUCCCCUGAGCAUUGCUCCUGACUUGCACCGUGAGGCUGCUUUAACCAGGCCACCCAUCCUUUGGUCUGAUCAAGUGCCUUUUUGUAAGGGACUCAGGCAGAUAACCAACAGAAAUGAGUUUGAAAAUUGCAACUGGGAGGAACCACAUUGAGAUCCUUCGGCCACUGUCCCUUUUGAGUCGGGAAGAAUUGAGACCCCAGGAGGGGAAGGGGUCUGUUCUCACAGAGAGCUUCUCAGAUGCACGGUCACCUACUGAUGUCUUGUUAAAAUGCAGGGGUAGGGUGGUUCUUGAGAGUCUGGGUGUCUGACUUCCCAGGAGAUGCCUCUGUUGAUGGCCCAAGAUGACACUUGGAGCCGCAAGGGUUACUUACUGGCCCGGGUGGUGGAAACAAGCCCAGCAUUACUGGAGGGCAGCUUAAAGAAAAUCUUUAAAAACUCCACCGUUUUUUCUUACAAUAUAUGCUCAUUGUGAAGAAUUUAAAUGGUAAUCCACAUCCCCCACUAAAUAAGCACUGUUAACAGUAAGGUUAUUAUUUUGUAUAUAUACCUACACACAUGUAUACUGUGUAUAUAUAUGAAUGCGUGUGUGUUAAAGAUAGGAUUUUGAAAUAUAUGUUGUUCCUAAAUUUCUGAAGUUUGUUUUGAAGAUUAUACAUCAUAUUUUUCCUCAAUGUAAAAUGAAGUCUGUUUUUUCACCUCAUGAUACAUUAUAGGCAACUUUUCCUUACUUAAAAUGUACAUUUGCUUAAGUAUUCCAUUCACAUAAUUGAAUUGAUUUAUUAAUACAUGUAUUGCCUCCAGUUUUUACCAAUAUAUUCUCUGCAUAAAAUCUUCAUUUAUA
RNAcentral lists this long non-coding RNA (1586 nucleotides) under Marmota monax (woodchuck). Lineage: Eukaryota; Metazoa; Chordata; Mammalia; Rodentia; Sciuridae. The record is from RNAcentral.